Molecule: small RNA, 1258 nt
Filed under: Pan troglodytes (chimpanzee)
Lineage: Eukaryota; Metazoa; Chordata; Mammalia; Primates; Hominidae
Description: retained intron
Source: RNAcentral
GAAUCGCGGUGCGACGAAGGAGUAGGUGGUGGGAUCUCACCGUGGGUCCGAUUAGCCUUUUCUCUGCCUUGCUUGCUUGAGCUUCAGCGGAAUUCGAAAUGGUAAACUUCGCAGAGACGCUCGAUGACUCCGCGGGUUUUUGCCGGCGGGAGAAAAACCCGUUACACAGAGGGAUGGGGGUGAAGUGGCGACGGUUGGGAACGCGCGGAGACAGGAUUUAGAAGAGUGGGGGGAGGUGUUUUGUCGGCUGCUAGCGGAGCAGCCUCGGAUCUCGCGGCGGGCGGCGACGGUUGGGUGGCGCGCGCAGCGCCGCUGGGGGCCGGCGGGCGGGCGGAGGCGCGCGGCCGUGGCGAGCGCGCGGCGGGGGGCGAACGGGCGGGGUCGCCCCUGCGGCGCGCCGCGGGCCGGAGACCCCGGCGGGGUGCGGGGACGCGCUCGCGGCGGGACGCGCCGCGGUGGGGGAUGGGCGCGCCGCCUUGGUAAUUCUAUAUUCUCCGUUCCUCCUCCGCUCGCGGGCGUGUGCGCGCCGCAGGCUGGCGGUAAGGCUGGAAAGGACUCCGGAAAGGCCAAGACAAAGGCGGUUUCCCGCUCGCAGAGAGCCGGCUUGCAGUUCCCAGUGGGCCGUAUUCAUCGACACCUGAAAUCUAGGACGACCAGUCAUGGACGUGUGGGUGCGACUGCCGCUGUGUACAGCGCAGCCAUCCUGGAGUACCUCACCGCAGAGGUACUUGAACUGGCAGGAAAUGCAUCAAAAGACUUAAAGGUAAAGCGUAUUACCCCUCGUCACUUGCAACUUGCUAUUCGUGGAGAUGAAGAAUUGGAUUCUCUCAUCAAGGCUACAAUUGCUGGUGGUGGUGUCAUUCCACACAUCCACAAAUCUCUGAUUGGGAAGAAAGGACAACAGAAGACUGUCUAAAGGAUGCCUGGAUUCCUUGUUUUCUCAGGACUCUAAAUACUCUAACAGCUGUCCAGUGUUGGUGAUUCCAGUGGACUGUAUCUCUGUGAAAAACACAAUUUUGCCUUUUUGUAAUUCUAUUUGAGCAAGUUGGAAGUUUAAUUAGCUUUCCAACCAACCAAAUUUCUGCAUUCGAGUCUUAACCAUAUUUAAGUGUUACUGUGGCUUCAAAGAAGCUAUUGAUUCUGAAGUAGUGGGUUUUGAUUGAGUUGACUGUUUUUAAAAAACUGUUUGGAUUUUAAUUGUGAUGCAGAAGUUAUAGUAACAAACAUUUGGUUUUGUACAGACAUUAUUUCCACUCUG